This 506-nucleotide ribosomal RNA is filed under the name uncultured bacterium. RNAcentral describes it as "bacterial SSU rRNA". It matches the Rfam family "Bacterial small subunit ribosomal RNA", at positions 28 to 535 of the family's 1533-position model. The record is from RNAcentral.
GACGAACGCUGGCGGCGUGCCUAAUACAUGCAAGUCGAGCGGGGAUUAUGCUUGAUCGCUUCGGUGAGACGGCAUAUAUCCUAGCGGCGGACGGGUGAGUAACGCGUGGGUAAUCUACCUCGUAGUUCGGGAUAACAGGCCGAAAGGCUUGCUAAUACCGGAUGAGUUCAUGCUUAUGCAUAUAGGCAUGAAGAAAGGGCUAGCCCGCUAUGAGAUGAGCCCGCGUCCCAUUAGCUUGUUGGUGGGGUAAUGGCCUACCAAGGCAACGAUGGGUAGCCGGCCUGAGAGGGUGUACGGCCACACUGGGACUGAGACACGGCCCAGACUCCUACGGGGGGCAGCAGUAGGGAAUUUUCGGCAAUGGGCGAAAGCCUGACCGAGCGACGCCGCGUGAGGGACGAAGGCCUUCGGUUGUAAACCUCUGUCCUCAAGGAAGAUAAUGACGGUACUUGAGGAGGAAGCCCCGGCUAACUACGUGCCAGCAGCCGCGGUAAAGAGUAGUACAC